UUGUCAAAAUGUUACCAUUAUUGCUGGGAUUCCAAGAAAUCUCUACAAAUGCCUCUGAUGACGUCGGAAACAAUUGGUUCUAAUCCUGUGAACUCUCUUGUGAAGAAAGCGUGUGACUCCUUUGGUUUAGAGGCCAUAUCUUUCAGGUCAUCCAAAGGUGCCCAAGCCACUCCAACAGAAAAGAUGGUAAUACCUACAAUGAAAAUAUUUUUGCAUGCAUUAGAACCAAGCUGCAGCUUAUACAGAAAACCAGAUGUAAUUAUUUUUCAUGACUCAGUUUACAGUUGGAGAGGAAGCUCUAUAAUGUCUGAAGGAUUAAAUCUCCUUCACCAAAUGGUUAGCUAGGUUUAAACAGUCAUGAGAAUGGCUAAACAGUUGGGCCCAAACCAAAAGUUUGCCAUCAGUAUAACUUACCACACUGGCAAAUAAAUCACAUGAUCACUGACAAAAAGUUAUGUGAUGACCUGAUAGAUAACUUCUUAAAAAAAUAAAUAACUAUAACAUACUUAGUGAAAUGGUGAAAACUGCCUGAGAUUGGCAGGAGAAUGGUCUGCCUGCUAUCAUCACUCCAGUUAAUCAUUAGACUGGAGGCCUAGCCAGUAUAACAGAGUCUGGGAUACAUAAAUGGAAGUUUUCUAAGGCUCUUGCAUUGGAAAUGGUGACUAGUCUUCUGAAUAAUGAGAACUUUGCAAUUUUGAUGUGUAUGUUACAUUGGCAAAAUGACCAGUAGUCAGAAAUUGUCAGUGUUAGGCGCUUGGGUGGCUCAGUUGGUUAAGUUUCCAGCUCUUGGUUUCAGCUCAGGUCAUGAUCUCACAGUUGUGGGAUUGCCACCCCNNNNNNNNNNNNNNNNNNNNNNNNNNNNNNNNNNNNNNNNNNNNNNNNNNNNNNNNNNNNNNNNNNNNNNNNNNNNNNNNNNNNNNNNNNNNNNNNNNNNNNNNNNNNNNNNNNNNNNNNNNNNNNNNNNNNNNNNNNNNNNNNNNNNNNNNNNNNNNNNNNNNNNNNNNNCCCCACCUCCUGCUCAGGUGUGCACUCCUGUGCCCACAUGCUCUCUAAAACUAUACUUAAAACGCAAAAAAAGAAAUGGUCAGUGUCUAACCCCAAAGCAAAAAUCUGGUGAAAAAAACAGCCAAAGAGAAAAGGGUCUGUGCAGCUGGAAUAAUUUCUUCUAGUUACACAUUGAGGCAUAACCUCUACAUGCCCUUGCACCAGUAGGCGGCUUGUAUUCCAACUACAUUUUGGUUAAGGUGAUAACUACACCAGUUUGAUUUACCUCAAUCCAACUGCAGUAGUUGUUUAGCACAUUCUUAGUGUAUCCUACCAUCUUUCUUUUGAGUGAAAUUUCCUAUGUUUGGAGAGCUUCUGAAGUCACUUCUAGGACUUCAUCCCCAUUCUAAUGGUAUUCAGUGCUCAAAAUUGUAAAUACUUGAGAUGUAAAUAAAGCAGGUUUAGAUUAUGUAAAAGCUCCUUGAAACAAUUUCUGAUUUAUUACCCCACUCAAUACUCCCAUCUCCUCCCCUGGCAAAAGAAAACAAAAAGAUUCCCCCCUCAGUUUUCCUCACUUGUAGACUGCCUAAAGCUCAGAUUGUAAUUAUAUAUUGGGUCAGAGCUAAACAAUUAAAAAAGUUACGACCUAGCCUUGAAAACCUACCUGUAUUCCGGCUUUUGUUAACUUGCACUUCACAAUCUCUAAAGGAUAAUUUUCAUGAAAAUGGUGUGGCAUAACCUCCUGAAGCUCAGCUAAUUACAUUGGGGAAAUAUAUUUGAUUUAAUCUAGUUCAGUUAAUUUAGCCUGAACCCCGUUAACCACAAAUUAGUUCAGUAAGAUACGUUUUUAAGAAGGAUGAUAGCAAACAGGUCUUCGAUUUAGGUUAGCUACUGAUGGAUAAAACAAGCUAGAUGUAUAUAAAUAAGCCAACAUAUAGCUUAAGUUGCGCGGAUGGGUUCUCUACCCUACUAAACAGCAUUUCAUCAAUAUAAAAGUAUAUAACAGUGGCUAAUGUGUAAGAGGGAAAAAGUUAAGUCAUGAGGAAUUAAAUAGGGAAAAGUGUGGAAAAGUAUACAAAAAUGCAAGGCCGCUAAUUCCCCUCUCCCAAGUUAGCGUUUUGUUUUUUGUUUUUUUUUAUUAAGUAUUAUUGGACCACAAUCACUCAGUUUUAUCCCAGGAAAGGGAACGUCAGCUUUUUGUUGCCCUAUUUGAUCUCAGCAACACAUUAUGCUAAUGUUUUCAGGAAUGAGUCGCCUUUGCCAAAAGUAAUAUUAAGGUUGGGGUAAGGGAGAAAGAAGACCUUUUUAUACUGUUUUAUAACAUCAGAGUGUGUUUUUAUUAUCUUGAAAAGACUAAGAAUCUAAAAAGGAAGUUUAGAUGGAAUAGAAUUAAAGUCUACUGGGGACUCUAACAUCUUAGAAAACUCAUGCCAGACUCAAAACUACUUUUUAAAAAAGGAUAAAUUAUCAAAUAGGUUCAUGGUAAAUUAUGAUAAAUUGUGAUUGGGUCGGGGGAUAUAUUCCAAGUUUGGGCCCAACAUAAGCACCUGUAACAUGCUUCUUUGACACAUGACAUGGUUCUCAUGGCACUUCUCCCAACAAUACAGUGGUGAGGAGUGUGGACUCAGCCAGAAUGCCUGGGUUUGAAUACUGGCCUCACCACUUGCUAGCUGUGGUCUUGAGGAAAUUUGUUGCCUUAUCUGUAGAAUGACAUUCAUAGGACUGGUUUGACACUUAAGUCAGUUAAUAUUGAGUAAAGCUCUUAGAACAAUGAUUGCCAUUACAUACGUGUUUGUUCAAUAAAAUAAAUGCUUACAUUUAUAUUUACAAAACUCACUGAACCCCUCCUCAGUUACCUACUGACAAAGGACAAGAACUUACCUGCAUCGUGUGCAGCAGCAGCAGGGCCUCGAACAUCGUCAUAGGACUGCCCGUCUGUGACAAUUACCAGGAAGUUCUUGUUGGGGCUAUCCCUCACAGGACCAAACACGUUUCUAACAGUGAAGGAAAUGGCAUCACCUGUAGCUGUUCCACCGCUCAUGUAGCGAAUGUUUCUGAUAACAGCUAGGACAUUCUCUUUGGUGCUGUAAUCAGUGAAAGUGAAUUCUGUGCGCUGAUCAUAGGUGAACUGCACAGCAGCAAUCUUGGCACCAAUGUCUGAGAUUUCAAAAGUCUUGGCUAUGUUGGAAACAAACUCAAGCAUGAGGCGAAAAUUACUGUCUCCAACACUGCUGGAACCAUCAAUUAGAAAGGCAAUGUUCACUGAGUUAUAGCAGGUCUUGCUGCACAUCAUUUGCUCAUGAGUGCAGAGCUUCUGUACCAGAGGCUUUACAUAUUUCGUGGUGCCAAACCAGUUGGGCAUGUGGUAAGAGAAGAAGCCAUUGUUCCGACAGACAGCCUAAUGGGGGAGACAUAAAUGGGAUCAAAAAGUGUGUCUUCUUAAAAAUGAUAAAAACAUUAAAUCUUGAAUGUUCAGAGUUAAUCCAGAUAAGGGCCAGUCAGCACUAUGCCUGAAGGUCCAAAAACUGAGUAACUACCCUAACAGAAAAGACCCCUCACCUCCUUACCUUGUCAACAAAUGCAACAUCCUGAACCAUCCCCAGUUCUUCAGGGAUAGGCUUGGCCACAGAAACUAUAAAUACAUUCACACCAAACUCUCUGGCCACAAUGCCUGCUUCCUCAAUGUCAUCAGAAGGCCAGCCAUCAAUAAAUACCACCACCACUUUGGGGAUCCCUCUUCUUACUCCAGCGUCUGCUGUGAAGAAUUUCUGGGCCGUAUGCUUCAAGGCUUUUCCUAGAUUUGAAGAAGAAGCAAGCUGGAGCAGCACCACUGCUCAAAUGACAUUUCUAUUUCCCUGUACCAACUUGAUGACACCAAAAGUUUAAGAAUUUAACUUACAUAGAACUUGGUUCUAUAAUAGAUGCAUCAGAUGCAAAAGUUUAAUUAUCCAUCAGAUCUAUUUUUUUUUUGUCUUCACAACCCACAUUACUUCCCCCAUCACCUCCCAGAAGCCUCAUUUUUCCUUACCUUACAUCAAUCAUCAGAAACACAACUGACUCCCACCACUGUACUUUUGCUAUCUAGCCCCUUAGUGACUGAUUACCUCUAAAGACUCAGAACAAGAAAUGUCCCUUCAGAGGGUCUAUAGUGCUAAGCUAGUUCUUUCUGCCACAUCUGCAUUUGUUAAACAAGUCUGUUGAUCUUUGCUUCUUUUUAACUUGCUGAACACGUACUUCUCUAAAGUGGCAUCUGUUCUAUCCAAUAUAAGGAUUAUAAAUCAUGAUACUUUUUUGGCUUGUUUUAAACAAGCAAUAUUAGUUAACCCUUUGGCAUGUUUUUCAUUAUAAAUUGAGUAUCUUAGAUGAUCAAGUACAAACCUAGCCAAGAUUUCAGUGUCAAGAGGAAGAGUUUCACAUCUGCUUAAAUAAAAUAGCCUAAUACUGCUUUACAUGUCUGACUGCUUCAUAACCCUCUCCUGUGUUACAUUCCAGGUGCCAAAGUCUACUUACCUGUAUUGGAAUUACCCCCUCUGAAACCUACUUCCUUUAUGGCAAACAAAACAUCUUUGGCUGAUGUAAAGUUUUUCAAAUAAAAUUCUAUUUUGGGAUGUUCACUAAGUGGAAAAAUAGGAAAAAAAUGUUAUCUAGAGAGAACUGGAAAGGCAAAACAAGCAACAUUAUAUAACUUAAAAAAAAAGUAAAUUGGCCAAUGCCUAAGUUUCUUAAUCCCAUAGUGUACAGUCAACUAAAGUAUUGCAUCCUUACUUAAAUUUCAAGGCAUCUUGCAGAAAUUAACAAAAACAAUUGCUACCUUGAGGGUUUAUCUGGGUAAUAUGCUAAAUACGUAUUACAUGUAUCAUCUCAUUUCAUCCUAACUCUACACAGUGUAAACUACUAUCCCUACUAUGUAAGCGAAGAAACUGAGGCUCACAGCAUUUUGGUAGGUUGCCCAACAAAACACUGCUGCACUUUAAAUUCAGGUUUGUCUGGCUCCAGAACACCUGAAACCAGGGUUAGCUGAAGGCACUGGGCUUAAUGGAAAUCUGCAGAGUAGGGCACCAGAGUAUUGGAAGGUGACUGGGUGUGAGGCUAGGUCUGUUCCAGUGGGAGACCAUGGAAGCACUCAACAGUGUGGGUCUAUUAACUCAGGCUUCUGGUUAGAAGAGGCAAUUUUAAGGACACCGAGGCCAACGUUUUAAAAAUGAGAAGAUAACAAGAAAAUGUAUCAAGUAUUACAAUUUUGGAUUUGUGUUAUAAAAAAUGAUAUUGACAUACGCUGAUCUCCAAAUUAUGUACAUUGUAAUAUUUGGGACUUUCCAUAUUUAAUAGUAAAAGGAUUUCAACUCACUUUUAUCACUACUCUAUGUUUAUUAGAAACCAUGAUGAGUAAAACAGUUACACAACCAUUUGUUGUGUUGGUUUUUAGAUAAGUCAGUAUUUCAUAAGUGCAAAAUUUUAAGAUCUUAGUAUUAUCAAUUGCCAUUAAGUCAAGAUUUUUGAGGUAAAAGUAUAGCACUGACUGUACUUCUGCAUAUCUUUCUGUAUAUCUGGUGAAAUGUUGGGCCACAAAAUCAGAUAUUAUGGGUAGAUAACCUUUUCACAUUAAUGGUCACUUUGAACUAUCCCAAUUGUGAUUUAGGAGAUUUAUUCUUAAUUUUGCAUCCUUAAUGUUACAUUGUUAUUCUGCUUAAAUAUAAACUCUUUAUAUAGUUUAUUCUGAGGCUCUUCCUAAAACAGGAAAACUAUAGGGGUGCCUGGGUGGCUCAGUCGGUUAAGCGUCCAACUUCAGCUCAGGUCAUGAUCUCACAAUCCGUGAGUUUGAACCCCGUGUCGGUCUCUGUGCUGUCAGUUCAGAGCCUGGAGCUUGAUUUGGAUUCUGUGUCUCCCUCUCUCUCUGCCCCUCCUCCACUCACACUCUGUCUCUAUCAAAAAAUGAAUAAACGUUAAAAAAAUUUUUUUAAUCGGUAAACUAGAAGUCUCAAAGUUUAUAGAGAAGCUAGUCUUGUUUGAUUCUACGAGAUAGUGUAGCUGUCAUCUUGAAAAAGAAUUGGAUACAAAUAGCAAAGAAAAAAAUGUAAGAAGAAAAGUACUGAGUGGAAUUUGCCCCCCCCCACCCAGGAUGUUAAAAUGUACAAUAAAGCUACAAUUAUCAGAGCAUUGUAGAAAAGAUGUAAGAAUUGGCUUAUAGAUCAAGGAAACUGACUUGGUUAACUUGCAUAUAAAAUUGGCCUUACAAAUCAAUGAAAUAAAGUCAUCUGUUUUAAAGAUAUGGGACAAAUAAAUUAUGUAGAAAACCAAAAAAUUCUCAUACCAAAUUCUCAUACCAAAAAAAUUCUAUUUAAAUUAAGAACCAGUUGUAAAACAUAAGAAUAAAUGAAAUAGAAAUUAGUAGGUGUAGUACUGGUGACAGCAAUUUAAACUGGGUCAACUUUCUAGAAAGCAAUUAAACUUUGUAUCCGAAACCUUAAAAAUGUCAGAACCUUUUGACCCAAUCUCACUUUUAGAAAUCUAGUCUAAUGAACUAAUCAAAGAUGGCACAAGGGUGACAUAAGGAUGUUAAUCACAAUGUAAUGUCCGAUGGUGAAAAAAAUGGAAGAACAGUUAAAAAGUCAUGCAAAGGAACAUUCUAAAACAUCAUCGAUUUAGAGCAUUUGUGGUGUAAAAUGCUCAAAAUACAAAGGGAUGAAAAAACAGGACAUAAAACAUUUUUAUAGUUUGAACUUUUGAAAAACACAUUAUGCAGAAAGGGGUGAAGGAUGGAAAAAGUGGUGGAAGGGGAAUGCGAGAUACAGGCUUCCAGUUAUGAAAUGAGUAAGCCAAGAGAAUAAAAGGUACAGCAUAAGGAAUAUCGUCAAUGGCACCGUAACAGCAUCUUAUGGUGACAGAUGGGAGCUACACUUGCAGGGAACAUGGCAUAAUCCACAAUGUUGAAUCACUAUGUCGUACACCUGAAACUAAUGUAACAUUGUGUGUCAACCAUACUUCAAUUACACACACACACACACACACACACACAGACAUGCACAUGUACAAGCAUUUUCUUAAAAUACUGAAAGGGUAUCAAACAUUUUAUAGUGAUUAUCUCGGGAGAGCAUAUUUGGGAAAUUUGUUUUUCUUGUGCUUUAUAUGUUUUUCAAGGUAUCUAUAGUGAGCAUAUUAUUUUCCUAAAAGCCAUCAAUAUUAUUUUUAAAUGAAUAAAAUUAAAAAGAUCGAGCUUCAGAUCUGCACUCAUGGAACUAUGGGAAAUGUUUAAAAGAAUAAUGACAGAAUAGGGAAAAGAAACAGACCUAUAAUUUCUUCCUUCAGCAAAGAAGAAUCAGGAAUUGAGCAGAGUAUAUGUACAGAGGUAAUUUGUACAGAGGUAAUUUUGUUGUAUGAACAACAAAACCUUUUUAGUCUACCUUCUGGUCAUCAAAUUCUCUAAAUCUUUUUAUUCCAAAAAGGAAGCACUUAGACCUACCCCGUCUGCUUAGGCAGUCUUACAUCCUAUAUUUACAGUUCAGGGAUUCAGACUAUCCACAACUCUAUGUGUUUAUACUGUACUGAAAUACAUGUAUCCACUAAAACGGCUGAUCUUUUAUCAUCAAGUCUCUUUCCAUUUUAACAAGUUGGUACCUGGCUUGAACAAGGCCCACGUGUGGUCCUUCUGUUCCAAUUCCCAACAUUAGAGCCACCUUGCCAACAAAAUUCUUCUGUAGAUUAAAUCGGCGCUGCCCAAUAUUAAAACUUCCAUCAAUCAGAAAUGCAAUGUCUGCUUUACAGUCUGUGAAAACCCAAACAUGUCUCUCCGUUAGCAGUUUCAAAGGGAGGGAAAAUGUUAUUUUCCCAAAUGGAUAUGUGGACUCUUACCUUUAUUGCCAGUUUUCUUUUCAGGUGUUUUCUUUAGUCGUUUACCUGAAACAAAGGAAGCAGUGGCAUCAAUAGGAAGACAGUUUCAUAGCAAGAAGCAAGGUAUCUAUAGUGAGCAUAUUAUUUUCCUAAAAGCCAUCAAUAUUAUUUUUAAAUGAAUAAAAUUUCAUAGCAAGAAGCAAGAAGCUUGUGACAAGGAGUGCCAUUCUUAAAAACACUUGUUUUGUAAAAAAAAUAAUUUGUUCACAGCUUUUUGGACUGGGGAAGAAAUGCCCCAACAAAGAAGUCAGGACUGUUGUAAGCCUUGCCACCAAUUCAGGACUUGAUAUCUCAAACCCACAAUUGAGGCAGGACCAGAAAUGCCAAGAGUUAGAUUCUAAUGUUCUUAAUUUCUUUGACUUUAAAACUGCCACAAUCUUAGGAAAGGAGAUUCCUGGCCUUUGUUAAAAUGGACACACAUUGAAUUCCUUUUAUUCAUAUGACGAAUGGAGCUAGGAAGUCACUUUGUCCAGUUUCUAGGCAUGGUUUAUUAGAUCAGAAAGAAAUAGUAGGACUUCAAGAGAAUGUUUGGUAGCAGAGUUUAUAAUUGAAAAUAGAAGGAUAGGAAUUUGAAAUAUAAAAUGUUUCCUUAUAUAAUGCACUAGUAAACUUAAGAUAUUUGUUUUGUGUUUCUUAAUUUUUUUUAAUUUUUGAGAUAGGGCACGAGCAGGAGAGAGGGGCAGAGGGAGAGACAGAAUCUUAAGCAAGGUCAAUGCUUGGUACAGAGCUCGACGCAAGGCUCGAUCCUAUAACCCCAGGAUCAUGACCUGACCUGAAAUCAAGAGUCGGAUGCUCAACUAACAGAGCUACCUAGGUGCCCUGGUUUUGUGUUUAACAUCACUUUUUAUUUUUUAUUUGUUUAUUUUUAACUUACUUAUUUUUGAGAGAGAGAGAGCAAGCAGGGGAGGAGCAGAGAGAAAGGGACAGAGAGGACUUCCAAGAAGGCUCCACACUGUCAGUGCAGAGCCCAAUGCAGGGCUCGAACCCACAAACUGUGAGAUCAUGACUUGAGCUGAAACCAAGAGCUGGAUGCUUAACUAAGCCACGCAGGUGCCCCAACGUCAAUUACUUUUUAAAGGAAAGCUAUCAACAACACAUUUAUUUUUAACUUCUAAAUGUUGUGCCAGGCUACUAGGAGAUAGCUUCCAUACCUGUUGAUGGACGUGCUGUGGACACUGCUUGUCCUGUGGCCUCCUGGGUACCACUUUUACCUUCUGUUAAAAUAAAGAGAAGACUAUUUUUUUCCUCUUCCUUCUUUACCAUCAAAAUAUCAUGAAUCUAACUUAGGUGUCUAUGGGAUGAUAAAUGUAAUCAAGUAAUGGCAACUGCAUGAGUAAUUGCUUCAUGCGAGUUUCAAAGACCAAAAUGAAUUCUUAUCUAUUAAAUUGUAUUUUAAAAGGAUCACCAAAAAUGAAUUCACAUUCAUUUUCAUUCAUUAGUUUUUUGAUUUAGUGUAAGUGUCAGGGCAUUCUGAUCACAAGUUUCUACUGCAACCUUCUAACAGCAAGAUUAUCCUUCCUCCAUUCAGCCAAGUUUGGCCUGAGUGGGCUUUGCUUGUCCAGGUCGCUGAUUCUAACCCAUAGUUGACUCUUUCAAGUCUUAAUCACAGGCUUUUCUAUCAAAGUCAAAGAUGUUGGGCUAAGAACAGCAGAAAACUUUUUUGAGAGUCAGGCAAUAUUUACACAAAGGUAAAAUCAAUGUAAUUGUACCUACUUGUCACUGUGAAAGAAGCAGACCAUCUGGAAAGUGUUUGAGACUGAAUGCCAUUGGCAACUACUGAGGAAUAGUUUUCUCGACCUGGUAGGCUAUAUAUUCGUACAGGUCCCCCUGAGUUGCUGAUUACUCCCCUGCAACACAGAAAAACAGCCGAUAUUCUACCCACACUUUUCCAGGGGUAUCCGACUGACUUAUAGUGCCAUGUUACAUCUAUUGUUCUGAUAAUCAAGAAAAUAGUUUAUCAGGGAAGACAUCUAAGGAUGCUGUUGGCCUUUUUAAAAACAUGCUAACAUAGGUACAACAUCUGCCUGGGAAAAAAUGGUUUUAUGCUGUCAAACUUCUUAAAUGUUGAUAGGAACAUACCUAUAAGAUCCCAUUCCCUGCAGCUCGGAGAUUCAGGGUUAAGAGCACCAAAUAAUUUUCUUAGUUUUCUAAGGUACUUUAACUACAUGUCUUUGGACAACACACACACACACACACAAAGUCUUGUAGGAUAGCAGAAUGUGUGAUGAAUACGGGAUCUGGAAGCAGACCUGGCCUUUCAUUUCCAGCUCUGGCAUUUGCCUGACAAUGAUGACUGUGGGCAAGAUCCUUGGCAACUGAGUUGUUUCUUCAUCUAUAAAAUGGAAUAAAAUUGUACCCACCCUAUACAAUUCUCAAGUUCUCAUGGAAGUUAAAACUAUGUCUGGCACACAGUAAAAACUCACUAAUAUAUUACAUGAUUAGGAAUGUUCUAAAAUCACAGGAAUCUAGCUGCCAAGAAAUAAUACAAUUUGUCUUUAGUCAGAAAUCUUACUUUGUGUAGCUGGUGCUUCAUGGAUAUCCAGGAAAACCUUAAAAAUGUAUCUAUCAGGGCACCUGGGUGGCUCAGUUGGUUAAGCGGCCGACUUCGGCUCAGGUCAUGAUCUCAUGGUCCAUGAGUUCGAGCCCCGCGUCGGGCUCUGUGCUGACAGCUCAGAGCCUGGAGCCUGUUUCAGAUUCUGUGUCUCCCUCUCUCUGACCCUCCCCCGUUCAUGCUCUGUCUCUGUCUCAAAAAUAAAUAAACGUUAAAAAAAAAAAGUUAAAAAAAUGUAUCUAUCUUCUAUGGCCAAAAUUGGCACCAAAAGAAAGAAGAUAGUGGGUCUGUCCAUGUGGCUAAAGAGGGAAAGGAAAUCAUCACACUUGGAUUUCUCUCCCCUUGGCAUGUUUCAGCUUACCUGUGGAUAGCUGCACCACAUAUGCUUGAUACAGAUGCAUACACUAUGUUCCCAAAUACGGAGAAUUCCUCAAGAGAGCAGCCCCCUGGGCAGAGGACAUCUGCUUUCUCUUUCCUGAUGUCCAGGCCUCGGGUAAAGCAUGUGAUAGCAAUGGGAACUGAAGAGAAAGGAGGGAAUGUAGUGACCAUUCUUGGGACUUUGAGGGGGAUGGGGAGGUGGAAACUAGGGUCUGAGGUUGAAGGUUUACCUCCCUAAGUUCUACACUUCUUAAGAAUAUUAACAUAUGUACCACACCAUUCCAGAUUUUAGCUAGCCAAAACCCAGAUUUCCAAUAUAAUCUAGUCCUCAACCACUCCAAAGCCUAAUAGGAGAAUUUUCUCAGUUCUUAUGAGCUUGGGAAUAUAUAACUGGGAAUAUAUCAGAACUGGAAAAUGACAUUAGUCAGUCACCAUUUAUUAGUUCAUUCUAGAAACGUAAAAAUCUCACAGCGAUAACUGUGGACACAGUUGCCUGAGCUAACGAUAUUAUAUCUGGGCCAAGCCUAUGAGGAAUAUCUUCAUAGACACAUGCACAAACCUCUUCAAGUCUCAUCCUUUGCUUUGGAAGAGCAUUUACACUAGUUUUCCUCCAACUGCAGUGUCUUAAAAUUAUCUCUUAAGUAGGCCAGUAAAAAGAUGUUUCACUUUACAAAAUGUCAUUUAGCUCAAUCGUUCAUUUUACAGAUGCAGAAAUUAAAGCCAUGGGGUUAAUUUGCUCUAGGUCACACAGCUCAACUUCUGCAGAAUCAGGGAAGGGAAUCAGAAUCAGGGAAUCAGGGAAGUUAGUCCCUUUGGAAUGAAGCAUUUUUAUCUGAACUGAACCUGCUUAUUUCUGGUCAAAAUCUGCCCAGAGAGAUCUAUCAGACAGUGAAUGCAUUUUUAGAAAACAGUGUCAAUACUCUCAAGUUUUACACAGCCAACCCAACUAAUAAGGAACUGAAGUUUGUACUACAAAAGAUGUUAGGUAGACACAAGCUAUUGGCAACAUGUAACAAGAUAAUAUAAUACCACAUGUUAACUCAUCAAUUUACUAUAAAUUUUAAGUUGAGAAUAAUGUUAUUAAAUACUCCUUUCCAAACACAAGAA
Molecule: long non-coding RNA, 11908 nt
Filed under: Lynx pardinus (Iberian lynx)
Lineage: Eukaryota; Metazoa; Chordata; Mammalia; Carnivora; Felidae
Source: RNAcentral